CGUGAGACUUGACUUGGACUCUAGCUCAAACACUUGUGAGCAUUUCUGUGAGAAGACGCUAAAUGUGAGGCUACCACCAGCAGCCAGCUAGUUUAGCUUGGCAAUAAGACUGAAAAGAGAGGGAAACCGCUAGUUCGGCUCUGUCCAAAAGAUCACUGGUCAUGUCGGAGAGUCACUGCGUAUUUGCUGUGUGCAUAAUGCUUCAUAGCGCGAGUGGACACUCACCUCGUAUGCCUGGGGACUGGUCAGACAGCUCGCCAGUGGUCCACAGCAGGCGGGCAGCGUGGAGGUGAGAGGCGGACCACUGUGUGUCAGAAUGGGCUUCAGGCUGCCUGAUGAUUACAGAGAUGACUGCAUCUGUGUCGCUCUGAGCGAGAAGCAUUGGACAAGAGCAAACACUCUGAUGCAGAGACACAUGAAAAUGCUCAGCACAAGUCAGAACAAGAAGAAUUUUCACCAUUUCUGUUUUGAUGUAUGUGAAGCACUGCCAUUGUAAAAUACAUGUGUAGCUUUCUUUGAAACUGAAUACAAUGAGCCUGCCAGGAUGCUGAUCCACAAUGUGCCAUGCUGCGUGUUGUCCACAUGCAAAUCUGUACCCUGUCCUCAAGACUGAACCCCCUCUGGCAAAGUAAAUAGUCGCAUCAGGAGGGAUGUCCUCAGACAACCCCGAUUAAGGUCACAGCAGGCGGAUCACUGAGCCAUCUGGCACUGCGGCCAAGCACCAUGUUCAUACUAUCAGGGGGUUCAAAAUUGGUCCAAAAUAAAUAAGGCUGCCUGUGCAGGAAGUGGUCAGAUGUUA
Long non-coding RNA from Micropterus dolomieu (smallmouth bass), 799 nucleotides. RefSeq lists it as uncharacterized. The transcript has 3 exons. The record is from RefSeq and is a predicted model, not a curated record. NCBI's taxonomy places the organism in Eukaryota, Metazoa, Chordata, Actinopteri, Centrarchiformes, Centrarchidae.